GCGUCCCACUCGACACGCCCGCGCGGUCUCCGCGUCCUCCCGGUGGGAGCUGGCGCUGACCACGGCGACCUGGGUCCAGCCGACAGGUGGAGAACAGCUGACCUGGUGCCAGGUGUGGGGUCCCUGCCAGGUGCCCUGCGGUCUAGCGGCCCAGGGCCUGUUUUCUUCCCCUUGCUUCUCACCUCCAAACAUUCUGGUUUGUACCAUGAAAGGAGCACAGGCAGACUCCUUAUGUUCAAGCUUCACUGUUUACAAAGCUCUUUCCACCAGCUCAGUGCAGACAAAAGAUCAAGCACUGGAGUGGCAGAGAGGAGAGGAGGGAUACAGACAGGAUUCUUCCAAAGGACCUUCUGGAGAUGGACAAGGAGUGGGCCCAGCUACGCCUCUGCCUGGCUGAGCGCCGGAACCAGCUGCCCACGCUCAGGCCGACAGCUUCUUCCUUCCAGCCGGACCAGAGGCUCAGAGGCCAGACAAAGAUUUAUCUGUUCCUUCUUCCCCUGGCUUUGGUGGGGUGGGGGGUGGUCUUUGAUUAGACAUGCACACCCCCUAGCACCACCAGAGAAGGGCUGCUGUCUCCUGUACUGCCCAGGGUGCCUGGGGAAUGCAGGGGGCCCCGUGACGCUGUCUGGGUUC
Long non-coding RNA from Bos taurus (domestic cattle), 633 nucleotides. The record is from Ensembl. Lineage: Eukaryota; Metazoa; Chordata; Mammalia; Artiodactyla; Bovidae.